Colinus virginianus (northern bobwhite) is the source of this 230-nucleotide non-coding RNA. Lineage: Eukaryota; Metazoa; Chordata; Aves; Galliformes; Odontophoridae. The record is from Rfam.
UCGACUGUACUCGAACAGGAUCACUUCUAUAGUAGAUCCGCUUGUUCACCGUCACAGCGACAGACAACACCUCAAGUCGUGACGAUGAGGCACACAUCCUGCCAUAGCUUGAAGGGAGGCUCCCUGGCAACUCCUCACUCGACGGCAGCUGUCGGGGCAGCUUUGAGGAUCCCGGACCAAGUUGGCAAUGGGCCAUCAUGGACCAAUGGCACGGAUGAAGCUGAACGGGU